UUCUACAGGCCUCUCUUUCCCGGUCUCCCCUACGAGAACGCGAGACGCCCCGACUCUAGGGUUCCGUCGGCAGCCGCACUCCAUCCUUCCGAUCCCGGCAACCCUUGCCACCCUCUCCCAUCCCCAGUCACCAUCGUAGUCCCUCGACACCGGUCAAUAUCCUUGACGAAGCCUCGCCUGCCGGCUCCUUGCAGCACGCCGCCCGCCGGUGGACACCCUAAUUGUGCGCGAACCCGCCGGGGAGUCACCUCGUCACCUCCAUGCCUUUCGCAGGAUCUCCGCCACCGCCCCGUGCUGCUGUGCGCAAGGAUACCGCCGCCUCUCCCUGGUACCUCCAUCUCCACUUCCUCGGGGCACUGCUCGCCGGCUCAUGACCUGCUAUGGAGUUGACUUUUGCGCACACAAGCUCCCCUAUUCUGGCUCUGCUGGCUCCCGUGGUUGAGCAGAGCGAGCAGAUCGACAGAGGAAAUACUCACCUGAUUUUCCUGAUUAUGUUGGGCAUGGAGAUUGAUCUGGUAUUUUUGGUUGUCCUUAGAUUCAAGGAUGACAGUGCCCACACCUUUUCCUGGUGUUUGGGCAAAGGCAUGUAUGUCCGAUGUGCGAGCAAAGCGAUGAAACAAUGGUUGUUGUUUACGUAUCUGGCGGCACUCGACGGUUACAGUUUUGGGAGCAGUAGUGUUGCUUGCUAGCAUACUUUUUCUUACAUAUAUGAACUGAUGAUGCUUUAUUUGGUGUUGCUUCCCAUGGCACUACAUUAUGGCUUUGUUGAUGAUGAUUUCUGCUGAUGUGCAUAGUUGAGUUUUUUCUGCACUUUCGAUUUAAGAUAGGUGCAAGUAAAACAAUGACUUCACAUUGGCUAAAUCGCUUACUGUUGUUUAUGCUCGUGCAGCAGCAGAGGAAUAGACUCGGCAAGUAAAGGAGCUACAUCAAUAUAGUCGGUGGAAUUAACAGGCAAAGUAAAUCCUGAAGCUCCUGGUUGUACCAAGAGUCAGUUGUCAUCGGUGGCCUACCAGCAACACUGGUAAAAGAACAAGGGUGGCCGGAUACCGGAAACAGGGGAUCUUUAAUUGGCCAAGCCACCAUCGCUCCAUCGUCCCCGGAGAUCGUUUGGUGACGUCCAGUGCAUAUCACAUUCUGUAGUGGAGGCGCAGACUCCCCCGCCCCAGCUUUGGCGCCGCCAUCUACCAAUGCGCAGAACAAGCCUGACUGACACGGCCUACAUCUUGAUUGUAACUCUCAUCUUCUAUCUCUUGUUCAUGUGGUCACAUUGAUUUUUCCUUUUGAGAAAGGGUUGAAAAAAAUUCUUUGCUUCAGACAACUGAAUGUCCAGUAAUAUUAUCAACCUUCAGCGA
Molecule: long non-coding RNA, 1352 nt
Organism: Triticum aestivum (bread wheat)
Lineage: Eukaryota; Viridiplantae; Streptophyta; Magnoliopsida; Poales; Poaceae
Exons: 2
Source: RefSeq, a predicted model, not a curated record